RNAcentral lists this ribosomal RNA (631 nucleotides) under uncultured bacterium. RNAcentral describes it as "bacterial SSU rRNA". It matches the Rfam family "Bacterial small subunit ribosomal RNA", at positions 820 to 1451 of the family's 1533-position model. The record is from RNAcentral.
CCGUUGGGACUCUUGAAGUCUUAGUGGCGCAGCUAACGCACUAAGUUGACCGCCUGGGGAGUACGGCCGCAAGGUUAAAACUCAAAUGAAUUGACGGGGGCCCGCACAAGCGGUGGAGCAUGUGGUUUAAUUCGACGCAACGCGAAGAACCUUACCUGGCCUUGACAUGCAGAGAACUUUCCAGAGAUGGAUUGGUGCCUUCGGGAACUCUGACACAGGUGCUGCAUGGCCGUCGUCAGCUCGUGUCGUGAGAUGUUGGGUUAAGUCCCGUAACGAGCGCAACCCCUAUCCCUAGUUGCUAGCAGUUCGGCUGAGAACUCUAGGGAGACUGCCGGUGACAAACCGGAGGAAGGUGGGGAUGACGUCAGGUCAUCAUGGCCCUUACGGCCAGGGCUACACACGUGCUACAAUGGUGCGUACAGAGGGCUGCAAACCCGCGAGGGGGAGCUAAUCUCACAAAACGCAUCGUAGUCCGGAUCGGAGUCUGCAACUCGACUCCGUGAAGUCGGAAUCGCUAGUAAUCGCGAAUCAGAAUGUCGCGGUGAAUACGUUCCCGGGCCUUGUACACACCGCCCGUCACACCAUGGGAGUNGAUUGCACCAGAAGUGGUUAGUCUAACCUUCCGGGAGGA